UUGAUGUUUUAUUCGUGAGCGUGAUAAUAUACAAUAACAUAUUAUACUUUGCACAAAAUAUAUUAAAAAUACUUUUAAUUUAACAAAAAUGUUUACUUAAAAUUUGUUAGAAUAAAAUAUGAUUUCUAAAGAAUGUUUAAACCUUAUUUACAACUUGUAGCGUUGCUGACUGAUGACGGAUUUCAAUAUUGACAUACGUGUUGCUAUGACAACAAACUAGUAAUAAGGUAAUAACCAGAGACGGAUCAUGGCAAAGAACUGCCGUACAGACUUUUGUAUAACAUAUAAUGCAUAAGGCAUAGUACAUAACGCAACGCACAAGACUUGUGCAUAAGACUUUAUAUAUAUCAUAACCUCAAACUUGUUAAUGUUAUAUUCACAGUAUAUCGUCGCGCAACUUUUAGGAGCUAAUAAUUUAUGAUAGUUAAUGGCAAGCCCUCUAAGAACGAUAAGAUUAGCGUACAAAGUUAACAAUAGCCGAUAUGGGAGUACAGUAUCUUAGUGCAAGAGCAUCUGAAGUUAUGAUUAAAAUUGUCAGCAGCGAUUGUCCGAAUACUAUAACCAAAUAACUGGCCAAAGCGAUUGAAAGAACCAAGACAUUUUAUACAGCAUAAUAUAUAAACAUAGCGGAAACAUAUAUUUUUAUUUGUAAUUUAUAGAAAUAAAAUAUAAAUUCUAAAAACACGGAAGAAACAAAAAAUUUUUGGUGUUACGAAAGUACACGAUUGAUUUUGGACAAAUAUGAACAUUAUCUUCCAUUAGUAGGACCUAUGAAGCAAUUUAAAUGUAUAAAAGAUCCCCUACACGGUCGCCAGCUUCUUUCACCUUCCCAGAAGCAAGGUUGUCUCGAUGACCUCGCCGUCUCUGCUACGGUCUUGAUCUCUCGGUGCUGCUGCUUCACCCCAGGACGGACCAGGAUCAACGCUGUCUCCAGGAACUGCCUCAGGUUAAUCAGGGAUCGUUGCCCAGGAUUUGGAUCGUCGCACAACAUAAGUGGACGUGAAGAUCUUCCUCGGGACUUCCCUGGAUCUCUCCGCUGGUGUGGACGCCUCAGGAUAAUGGGAGCUCCUUGUGGACGGUCUCAAGCCGCCAGCAGUAUCCGGCGCUGCGCCGAUCCGCAGCCUCGCUGUCUCCAUCGCGAGGAUGGAAGAAUGCAAACAGACAACGCGAGAGGCCGAGACCGCCAGCGCGAUGACCGGCAGAAUCGAUCCACCGAAGCCAACACCAAGGAGCGUCCAGAGGCCGAUCGGCCGACCACCAACGCCAACUGAGACACCAUUUCCGACGCCGACGCAGCCGACGGACCCAGGAACCGUUCGAAUCACAGUAUACGAGCCGCCGCCGAUCGCCGACAGCAACGGAGAGAACGAGGAGAUGCUACAGGUGUCUCAGAACAUCGCGCACUUCGAGGAAGUGCAAUAAAGACAAUAAAAAGCGCGAGAGUUAUGUUACGCGACCGGCAGGACCGCGAUCCGCGCAUAUUAUAUUUUAUAUAAGUUUUAGUUCGUUUAGUCAUUAACCGCAGCCGCGUCAAACCGCGAGCAAUAUAGAAUAAGGUGUGUGUGUGAAUGCGUGUAUGAAAGCCGCGAAACUACACCUAGAAUAAGAAAUAUACACAUAUCGUAUUAAUCCAUUAAAACUAUAUUCAAGGAAUAUUAUGUUGUUAUACCAGCGUCAAAGUGCGUAAGACCCAUCGUAUUGUACGAAAGAAUAUAUUUAGUUAUUUAGCGUCUGUAAACGCGAAAACGAUUCAUUUAUUAUAAUAAAAAAGGAUUUAAUUAAUUUGUUUGUAAUUUGCCCGAUAAAAUCCGGCUAACUUAUCCCGUCCGUUCGUUAACUCGACAGCAGGUGCGAGACCAAGGGAUCACCCGACAAAUUGUCUCCCGACGAUAUCCGGCCGAGUGAGACGCCUACCUGACCGGCGAGCUCACCCUCGUCAAAGUGACAGGUGGAGUUAUGUUCCCCAGUAUCGCGAGUCGUUAAACGCGAUGAAUAGCGGACAGCGAUACCAGCGAAGGGAUAGCCAACGCAUUAUCAUGCGCACGCCAAGCGGCAUAACUCUUUACUUAUGCAUACAAUGGGGAAGUAUGUAUUAUUAUAUAUUAAUUACGGUGACUAUUGAAGAACAUACGCCGGGCUACGCGAUCGUAUUAUAUGAAAAUCUACGACGCGACGAUUAACAAACCCGCGCGUGAAUCAACGCGAAAAUACGCGUGAAUAAUUUCAUUUAUUGUUUUAUGUUUAAACUGUUGCGCCUUGCGGUACAACAAAUGAUUUGUGCCGUACCUUGCGGUGCGACAAAAGAUCUUUCGGGAUUCGUUACUGCCCAAGGAGUAGGAACUCGCGGAAAGAGGCGGCUUUUGUUGGCAGGGUCCUCAAAUCACUCACUCACUGAUUCUAAGUUAAUUUGAUAUAAAAGAUUUAUUUCACUGUGGUUGUACAUUGGUUGCGAUCGGCGAAAGUGCCGCGUCGUGUUACACUUGAUUAGAUACGGCGCGUGACUCGGAGUUAACGCGUCGUCUCGCUUGAGAUUUGCUUGCGGCUAAGUCCCGAACUCGUAAUUCACUCGUGCGGGCUGUACGUAUCGGCUUGAUUGCUAAUCAUUGAUCCCGCUGGCCGCUGGUCGGCAGCAGCUUAUAUAGUGUCGCGGAUUUGGUUAUUAGUGGGGGCAUCGGCCCUCCGCAUGACCAUAUAUGGUCAUUCCCGCGCGUAUCCGGCGCGCGGGAAAUAUUUGCGAGUUUAGCAACAAUUGCCAAAAUGCAGGUAUGCAUUUGCGGUGGCAUGAUUGUUGCUAAGCUGGCUUCGCUAAUUCUUUAAGGUGGCUGGUCCGUUGCAGUGCGAUGACCGGCCGAGGCAUGUGUCACCUGACACCUUGUGAUAGCGAGCCUUCCUCGGCGAGCUAUCUGAUAAUUUUAAUAUUUUAUAUUCUUUAUUUUAUAAUAUGAUUUUAUUGGUUGUGAGUGUUUCGCUCACAACAAAACAUAUAUCGCAACUAAUAAGUCGCGACGAUACUGUGAUUCCGGCUUAAUCCCGAUAAAAUUAUUUCGAUAUAUUAGAUCGAACCCCAAGAGGGGCGUAUGAACGCACAUUUGCGUGAAUUAAUUAUAUUUUGUUCUUUUGAUGUUUUAUUGGCUACCGCCAGACAGGCGACAGAGGGAACGUACCAGAAUCACUAGCUCGAACAGAUUAUGCACUUGUUCGGGGUCGAAGGUUGCGUAUGCGCAUGCGGGCCGUUGACGCCAAAGAGGACGGACCGAGUGUGAAUGAGAAGGAACCACCCGAGGUCCCCCGAUUGGUGAAAGGAAGCGUGUUACACCGGAAACGCCAAUCGGAGGGCGUCGGAUGGGGGUGCAUGCAGGCGUCGUAACGGAUCGUAGAGAUCCAAAAAAAGUCUGCGUGAGGCAUCCAUAGCGGGCGGACGUGGAUGCGAGACCGCGUCCCGCGCAAAAGUGGAAUCGUCCUAUUAAUAUAAGGCGAGUGCGUAUAUCGAGCGCGAGAAUUAAUAGAAUCGCGAAUUACCACUCGACGUCACUCGAAUGCAGAUAUUUUCUGCGUGUGAAAUUCGCGAGCGCGUUAAACAUCGCGAGAUCCCGGGCACGUAGCAGCAAGGGCGUGACCCGGAAAUAGACGAUCGCCGUACGCGAAUAAAACGCGCCUGCCGAUCGUGCGAGGCCUGUGUACGUGUGAUUGCGUAUAAUAAAGCAGAGCAUUGUGAAAAUUCACUUGUGUCGUGUUCAUUUCAACAACGCCAUCCCGGGCGAGUCCAUUAUUCUAAGGCGGGCUAGAUUGCAUCAUCCCGCCACGAGUGACGACGAGGGCCUUCCUCAAGGGCGAGCGAAGCUGAAGAAGCACCAGCAGCGAGCCAGGACAACGGGCAAACAGAUAUUUACACAGAAUAUGGAAAUAAUCAUCUCCGGCCAACAGACGCGCAAAGGCGAGGCCACAUCCCUGGCGAUUGGGGAAAUAAAUCGACCUAGCGACCGUAAUCAUCAUAAAAGUAAGAAAUCUGCAAGUAUUCCGGAUUUAUCACCAUUUAUAUGUCGAGUUCGGUUACAACCUGACCUGAGGAGUUACGGCAGCAAUCUCCAAAUACCGGUCUCUUAAAUAAGGGGCACAACAAACUCAUUUACAACUACGUGCAGCACAGAACUUUUGUGGUUAAUCUAAAAGGAUAAUCUUCUUCGUCUUACAGUCUACUGGUGUUCCACAGGGCUCUAUCUUAGGUCUAGUUCUAUUUAAUAUAUAUUAAUGACAUUCCUAAGUCUAAUAAUCCACAACUGGAUGUGUAAGCAGAUGAUACUGUUGUAUAUAUAUCCUCUUGGCCAUGACGCGUGGCCAAUAGUGACGCGUGGGCAAUAAUGACGCGUGGCCAAUAUUGACGUGGCCAAUAUUGACGUGGUCAAUAUUUACGUGGCCAAUAUUGACGUGGACAAACGGGUGCCACUCAGUCAGAGUGGCGUGGGUCCGGGCCCGGUCGGAUGUGCUAGACCCGAAGCCGUUGCAGUGCUUCCUCUGCCUGGGGACGGUCCCCUGGGGAGGCGGUGCACGGCGAGGGCCGACCGCAGCGGACUAUGUUACCGCUACGGAGGGGCUAGCCAUAAGUCCGCGGAUUGCAUGGCGGAACCUUGCCCGCUGUGCAGGGACUUGGGGAGGCUCUCCAAUCACCAAUACAGCGGCAGGGCCUGCCUUUCGUCAAGGUCAAGGCCAAGGCCAAGAGAAGGGGCACCGAAGGCGCGGCGGCAACCGCUGUCUCGACUGUUGGCGACGCCGGGGCAGACGACCGUUGGAAAGCCAAGAUGCGGCGUGGGGGGGAGUCCGGCUCUCCCUCUACUGCCUCCCGAGGGAGCCACAAAUUUGACCCCCAGUGAGACCCGCCUGGAGGAGGCAAUGGAUACGGAGUAACGUUUGUACUCCAUCAACUCUUCUAGGCGAAUUGAACCACUCCGCCAGAGCCCAGGAUCUUCUGUCCCGAGCGAUGGCGGAGUGGUCCAUAGAGCUGGCAAUCGUCUCCGACCCCUACGUCGUCCCCCCUGCCAGACCGGACUGGCUGGGGAACGAGUUGGGUUCGGCAGCGAUCGUAGGUAGAAAGUGCGGCUCGAGGCAUCUUCCUUUUUCGCUGUUGGGGAAAGGAAGGGGCAUCAUUGCCGUGGACUGGGGGGAAUCGUGGUGGUAAGCGUCUACGUUCCGCCAAGCAAGGACCUCAUCUUCUUCGGCGAUCUGCUGGCCCGUAUAGGGACGGCGGUCGCUCGAGAGUUACCGGGAGGGUAUUGGUCGCGGGAGACUUUAACGCGAAGUCUACCGAGUGGGGUCCCCCCGCAACCGACGCGAGAGGCGAGGUCUUCGGCGAGUGGGCGGCUAGCCUCGAUCUCCGCAUUCUCAAUGUGCGUGGGUCAACGGGGGGGGGGUUCAUCGUCAACGUGACGAUGGGAUCGCUUGCCGCCGUGCGGGCGGUCAAGGACUAGAGGGUCCUGGAGUCGGAGAUCAGAUCGGACCACAACUACAUCCGCAUGACGGUCUUCGACUCCGCGAUGGGCUGCCAGCGCGCCGGUCGUCACCGCCUCGGGGCCGCUGCCACCCCCCGUUGGGCGCUUAAGCGGCUCAGUGAAAACGCAGCGAUGGCGGCCGCUGCCACCAAGUUCUGGCAGACGUCGGAGCUCCACGAAACUUGGACGGUAGAGGGGUAGGUGGCCUGGUCCCGGGGCGCGAUGGCGCAGAUAUGCGACGCGUCGAUGCCCCGGAGCCGGGCCGCCCCUCCCAAGAGGGCUGUAUAUUGAUGGUCGCCAAGGAUUGCGGAGCUUCGCUCCAAGUGCAGUGCUCUGCGCCGCCGGUAUCUCCAGUGCCGCCGCAGGAAGCGGCACACGGAGGAGAAAGCGGCCAGUCGGUACAAGCCUUAUCGCGAGGCGAAAAGGGCCCUGCAGAACCCCGCUCGGGCGAAGGCCAGCGCUUGGGAGGAGCUCCUGGAGGCUCUCAAGCGUGAUCCGUGGGGGUGAACCUACAGACUUGUCAGGAACAAGCUGAGAACCGGGUCGCUCCCGGUCACCGAGAGCCUCCCCCCCCCCAACUGCUGGGAGACAUAAUAUCGACUCUGUUUCCUCAACGGGGAGAUGGGGUCGCCGAGCCUCCAGUGGGGCCCUCGAACCGAGGAAUCGAGUGGUCCGAAGACUGGGAGGUCACGGAGGAGGAGCUUGCUAGAGCAGUCACUCGGCUCCGGGCCAAGAACACGACCCCGGGACCGGAUGGCGUUCCUGGCAGGGUGCUGGCAUUCGCCCUACGCGUCCUCGGGGACCGGUUCAGGCAACUCUUCACAGGCUGCCUGCGUCAGGGACGGUUUCCCCGCAAGUGGAAAGCGGGUCGGCUGGUUCUCCUCUCUAAGGAGGACUGCCUUGCUGACUCCCCCUCAGCGUAUCGCCCCAUCUGCCUAUUGGACGAGACGGGCAAGCUCUUCGAGCGAGUGCUGGUUGCCCGUCUCCAACGGCAUCUGGCUGAGGUGGGCCUCGAUCUGUCAGAAUGCCAAUUCGGCUUCCGCGUGGGCCGGUUCAUGGCGGAUGCAGUCCUCCCUCGCGAAGGGGGUAGUGUCCCGGAGCGGGAUGGCAAUUGCUGUGUCUUUGGACAUAAGCAACGCAUUCAACACUCUGCCCUGGGACAGGAUUGGGGAGGCGCUUUGGUAUCACGAGGUGCCUCCCUAUCUAGAGUGGGUGAUCGGGAACUACCUCUGUCGCCGGUCCAUCGGGUGGGUCGGGCGCGACGGCACCACAUGAGGGGGACGAGCUGCGAGGUUUCACAAAGGUCGAUACUGAGGCAAAUCCUGUGGAAUCUCGGGUACAACUGGGUACUGCGGCCUUCUCCCCGGGGGCGCCAAGACCAUCUGCUACGCGGAUGACACCUUGGUAUUCGCUCCCGGGGAUGACUGGGGGGAGGCCAGCCGGCGCGCGGCGGAGCUGAGAGUGGCCUUGCACAAAAUUGAGGCAAACUGGUUCGCCAGACUUCGAUCGCGGGGCCCUCCUCGGCCCUACAUCAUCGUAAGGGAGGGGGGCAAACCCCGGAGGUCGGGGAACAGGUUAAAAUACCUGAGUCUCGUCCUCGACAGCAGAUGGAGCUUCCGGGCCCACUUUGAGAGACUGGCUCCUCGGAUGAGAGCGGUCACCACCUCCUUAGGGAGGCUGAUGUCUAACCUCGAGGGGUCUGGGGAUGGGCCGCGCCGCCUCUAUGCCGGGGUGGUGGCCUCGGUCGCGCUUUACGAUGUGCCCGUGUGGAGCGGCGACUUGGCGGUCAGCCUGCCUUGCACCACCGCUCUUAGAAGAGAGAAGCGCAGGCUGGCCCUGCGGUUGGCACGGGCGUACCGUACCACCCCGUGGGAGGCGGCAUGCAUGGUGUCGGAGCAACUGCCCUGGGAGAUCCUGGCGGAGGAAUUCGCCGAUCGCUUCCGCUGGCAGUCGGCUCUUUGACGGGAGGGAAUCACCCCGACACCCCGGAUGGCGGUGGCUUGGGGGCUCCAGGCCAGAGAAAAGUCCCUGGGCCUGUGGCGCGAGCGCUUGGCCUGAGGACCGUGGUGGCGAUCCGCCCGGUCCUCAAGAACUGGGUGGCGGCUGCGUCACUGGGUCACCACUGCGGGGUGGCUCGGGACACGACGCAGCACACGCUGGAAGUGUGUCCGGCGUGGGCGACACGACGCCGUGCCCUGAGCAAUACAAUAGGGCAGGACCUCUCGCUGCCGGCCGUGGUUCAAGCCAUGGUUGGCAGCGAGGACGCAUGGGUUGCGAUAGUGGCCUGCGAUACUGCCUUCUGCGAGGUUGUUAUCUAGCAGAAGGAGGAAGCGAAGCGGGAGAGGGAGUCUGACAGGGCUGCCGAUCUCGCCCGCCGAGUAAAGAGCGGGCGGAGGAAAAGGGCUUACGUGAAAAAUCCGUAGGUCUCUUUUUUACCCGUCCCUCAGGGGCGAUUGGACCGCCCUACGUGGAGACGUGAGCACACCGACCCCUUGGAAAAGGGGCGUCGCGGCGGCGUGGUUGCGUCUCGACGCCACAAAUAGUGUAGGGCAGAGAAAUGGCCGGAUUUGUCUGGCUGCUUCUUAGGGACGCCCCCUCCUCGGGGGGAGGGGGGGGCAAUAGGCGCGACGGGCCGCGAUGCAUGCCUGUCCGACCCCGGGACCCGCCGUAACGCCAGUGGUAAGCAAGCAUCGAGGGGUUUAAUGGAUAGGCCCAUCCCGAAAAGGGAUGGGGAGUCCCACAUACCCCCCAACCGAUCCCCAGGGUGGGGGAAUGCGUAAAAAGCAUUCCCCUCGUUAAAAAAAGGAGGUUAUGAGGUUGUGACCGAACUUAGCUUGGGGAUUAAGAAAAUCCCAGCAUUCCCCUCGAUAAAAGAGGGGAUUAUGAGGUUGUGACCAAACUUAGCUUGGGGAUUAAGAAAAUCCCAGGAUACUUAACGAUAUAUUAGAAUUUCUUAUUUGUACGGUCGCCAGGUCGGUGAUUUGCCCCACCACCAGGGUGUGGACUCGGCCUUGUACGUGGUUCGGCCGGAAGUAAAUAUCUGCUUAUUCAGCUGUUAAUUCGGGAUGUCCCUCGCCCGUUUAGUAAUCCAGAGCCUCUGCGGAAACUUCUGGUAUCACAGGAUCCUUCGGAAAGUCUUCCUUUCUAGCUGGUAUGGGAUGAUGUAAUCUCCAGCCAAAAAAUGGACUUGCCCAGGAUAUGUGUUUAGGUCGCACGAUUAAUUACAAGGCUUUCACAAUGCACUUUACUCUGCUUUUUAUUUAUUCACAUGUUAUAUUUUCGCUCGCACACACUCGUAUUCGGCUGCGCUCAUUAUUGCGUAAUAUUAUCACUUAUGUCCGGCCACGCCUCUCGUAUAGCGUGAGCACGGAUUUUCGCGAGUCUUUUACGCGCACGCGAUUAUAUACGCGGAAAAAUGCCUGCGACGAUAGCUCGCGGGUUGUAUCGCGAAUUCACUUGGAAAUACGCGCCAGUUGCUGCUACCGUACUUAGUCGUAUCUUGUGAUAUCGCGGGAACUUGGAUAUCUCACGUCCGCACGCUACCAAGUUCACAAGCAGACUUCAGGGCAUAUAAUCUCUUAUGUAUUUUUCGUGAUCAGCGUUUGUAGCGCCGCCGCUGCAAGCGAACCAGCCGAACCGAACUAAAAUGCAAUAUGGCUGUCUAAAAUCAACAUGGCCGUAGUAAUGAGUUCCGUUCAACAAGCAGAGUGAAGUGAAGCAAAGCUUACGAGCGAAGAAGGAGGUUAUUUCUUACGAACGGAAUAAUUUGAAACUGAUGGUAUGUAAUCGCAAUUCCGCUUACAGAAACAGCUUUUUUCUCGCUGUGAUUUAAUUUGUGGUGUAUAAAGAGACUGUUUUUUUUUUUAGACACCAGUAGCUGUUCCAGCUUUCGACUGUACACCAGCCUUCGACACCAUAUAAAAUAAAGUUGCUGUGGCUGCGUUUGGAAACAUCACCUGAGUGCUCUCGGGUAUCAUUCUAUGAUAGAGAGUUAUAUCGAAUCAUUAAUCAUGACAAUUACCUAUUUACUUUGUUUAUAUUGGAAGAGUGAAGAGAUUGUGAAAUGAUGAUUGGUGUAGAUUGUAAUAAUUAGCUUUCUUAACAGAUUCUAAAUUUAAUUUAUUUUUAAAAACAAUUUCUGAAAGAAACAAGAAUAUAUUUCUCUUCUUUAAAUAAUGUUAAAUGUUUAUGCAGUAUUAGUCAAAGAUUAGAUUCUUACAUUCGAUAUUUGAAUUACUUAAUCGUGACAAAUUGUAGCAUAUUUUACUUAGUCCCAGCUUUCGUCUGAUGAAUUAAUAGCGAUUAAACUUGGAUUUUCCACGUAUUAAACCAAAAGUUCUUACUUGAACUGAUUGUGAUACGUAGGCACGAGAAAACGACUAUCUCUUUUCACUCUCCCAAAAAAGUAUAUGCAUAUAUUUAUAAUACUGUAAGCGUAUAUAAAAUAUUUUUUAUUUGCAAAUGUCAUUGCAUAUGCAAAUUAUAACAUUUUAUUUGUUUGUACUAAUCAUGUAAUGGUUCCAUAAAACAUGUGAAAUAAAUAAGUUCAAAAA
This is a long non-coding RNA of Monomorium pharaonis (pharaoh ant), 10036 nucleotides long. RefSeq lists it as uncharacterized. The record is from RefSeq and is a predicted model, not a curated record. Lineage: Eukaryota; Metazoa; Arthropoda; Insecta; Hymenoptera; Formicidae. The transcript has 9 exons.